Molecule: transfer RNA, 72 nt
Filed under: uncultured Actinomycetes bacterium
Lineage: Bacteria; Bacillati; Actinomycetota; Actinomycetes
Description: uncultured actinobacterium tRNA-Arg
Rfam family: tRNA
About the family: Transfer RNA (tRNA) molecules are approximately 80 nucleotides in length. Their secondary structure includes four short double-helical elements and three loops (D, anti-codon, and T loops).
Source: RNAcentral
ACCCUCGUAGCUCAGGGAUAGAGCAUCGGUUUCCUCAACCGCGUGCUCCAGGUUCGAAUCCUACCGAGGGCA